UAGGGAAUCUUCCGCAAUGGGCGAAAGCUUGACGGAGCAACGCCGCGUGAGUGAUGAAGGUCUUCGGAUCGUAAAACUCUGUUAUUAGGGAAGAACAAAUGUGUAAGUAACUAUGCACGUCUUGACGGUACCUAAUCAGAAAGCCACGGCUAACUACGUGCCAGCAGCCGCGGUAAUACGUAGGUGGCAAGCGUUAUCCGGAAUUAUUGGGCGUAAUGCGCGCGUAGGCGGUUUUUUAAGUCUGAUGUGAAAGCCCACGGCUCAACCGUGGAGGGUCAUUGGAAACUGGAAAACUUGAGUGCAGAAGAGGAAAGUGGAAUUCCAUGUGUAGCGGUGAAAUGCGCAGAGAUAUGGAGGAACACCAGUGGCGAAGGCGACUUUCUGGUCUGUAACUGACGCUGAUGUGCGAAAGCGUGGGGAUCAAACAGG
This 429-nucleotide ribosomal RNA is filed under the name Actinomycetes bacterium. Its description in RNAcentral is "Actinobacteria bacterium partial 16S ribosomal RNA". It matches the Rfam family "Bacterial small subunit ribosomal RNA", at positions 355 to 776 of the family's 1533-position model. Lineage: Bacteria; Bacillati; Actinomycetota; Actinomycetes. The record is from RNAcentral.